This 80-nucleotide ribosomal RNA is filed under the name uncultured bacterium. Its description in RNAcentral is "partial 16S ribosomal RNA". The record is from RNAcentral.
UGAAAGUCGGUAACACCCGAAGCCGGUGGCCUAACCCGUAAGGGGGGGAGCCGUCGAAGGUGGGAUCGGCGAUUGGGACG